This 1008-nucleotide non-coding RNA is filed under the name Naegleria gruberi. RNAcentral describes it as "Eukaryotic large subunit ribosomal RNA". It matches the Rfam family "Eukaryotic large subunit ribosomal RNA", at positions 438 to 1475 of the family's 3401-position model. The record is from Rfam by way of RNAcentral. Lineage: Eukaryota; Heterolobosea; Eutetramitea; Acrasida; Naegleriidae.
GGUGCAUUAAAGGUAUCCAACAACUCUGUUCUUGCUUUGCGAGGAUUGGGCUACACAUGCUAAGAAUGCCGUUGUAGAUGCGCUCUAUUAACGAAAAUCUUUUUGCUAUGCCAUUGCUUCACGGCUUUGGUGUGGUACCGGGGUCGUAGUUGAUAGGGUGUGUCGCAAACUAUCGGUCAUUAGUAUAUUGUUGGUAUGGUAUUUGGGAACGUCCCGUCUUGAAACACGGACCAAGGAGUCUAGCAUAUCUGCAAGCCGUAGCAAUUUUAAUUGUGAAGGCGUAAUGAAAGUGUAUUGUGUUAACAGCACAAACCGGGCCUUUCGGUCUGAGUUAGAGUAAAUAUGCUAGUACCCGAAAGGUGAUGAACUAUGCCCGGACUGGUUGAAGCCAGGAGAAAUCCUGGUGGAGGACCUCCCGCGGUGCUGACGUGCAAAUCGCUCGUCCGAGCUGGGUAUAGGAGCGAAAGACUCAUCGAAUCGCCUAGUAGCUGGUUCCUGCCGAAAUUUCCCUCAGGAUAGCGGAGAUUCAUAAUUAAUUUUGCCAGGUAAAGCUAAUGAUUAGAGAUCUUGGAGGUGGAUAACCUUCAAUCUAUUCUCAAACUUUAAAUGGGCAAUAUCCGGGGCUUACUUAAUGGAAGUACCGGUUUAAUAAGAAUCUCUAGUGGGCCGUGGUUUGGUAAGCAGAUCAGGUAAAGCGGGUUCAACCGUAAACAAUAAGGAAAGGCGUCCAAUACCGGUUUAAUACUCAUUAAAGGGUGUUAAUUCAUGAAGACAGCGGGACGGUGGCCAUGGAAGUCGGUAUCCGCUAAGGAGUGUGUAACAACUCACCCGNCGAAUGAAUUAGCCCCGAAAAUGGAUGACGGCUAAGCCGGUAGCCGAUCCUUAGUCCCUCUUCUAGAUUUCUUGAAGAGGGGGUAGGCAGGCGUGAUGGUUGCAACGAAGCUCUUGGGUGACUGGGAGUGGAGCGGCCAUCAGUGCAGAUCUUGGUAGUAGUAGCAACCAUUCUUA